GCCCUGAUAGUGUAGUGGCCUAUCAUGAAGCCCUGUCGAGGCUUCGACCCGGGUUCGAAUCCCGGUCAGGGCG
Molecule: transfer RNA, 73 nt
Filed under: Candidatus Woesearchaeota archaeon
Lineage: Archaea; Nanobdellati; Candidatus Woesearchaeota
Description: tRNA-Asp
Rfam family: tRNA
About the family: Transfer RNA (tRNA) molecules are approximately 80 nucleotides in length. Their secondary structure includes four short double-helical elements and three loops (D, anti-codon, and T loops).
Source: RNAcentral